AGAGAAAGAAGCUAUAAAGCAAUUAACUGUUACUUAAUUAUUAAUGGUAUACUCUCCACCAUCUUCUCUA
RNAcentral lists this transfer RNA (70 nucleotides) under Mutela dubia. Its description in RNAcentral is "tRNA-Asn". Lineage: Eukaryota; Metazoa; Mollusca; Bivalvia; Unionida; Mutelidae. The record is from RNAcentral.